This 441-nucleotide ribosomal RNA is filed under the name uncultured bacterium. Its description in RNAcentral is "partial 16S ribosomal RNA". It matches the Rfam family "Bacterial small subunit ribosomal RNA", at positions 338 to 795 of the family's 1533-position model. The record is from RNAcentral.
CCUACGGGAGGCAGCAGUGGGGGAUAUUGCACAAUGGGGGAAACCCUGAUGCAGCGACGCCGCGUGGGUGAAGAAGCGCCUCGGCGCGUAAAGCCCUGUCAGCAGGGAAGAAAAUGACGGUACCUGAAGAAGAAGCCCCGGCUAACUACGUGCCAGCAGCCGCGGUAAUACGGGGGAUGCAAGCGUUAGCCGGAUUUAUUGGGUUUAAAGGGUGCGGAGGCUGGGAGGUAAGGCAGCGGGGAAAUGCCCCAGCUCAACGGGGUGAAGUGCAAUUGAUACUGCCUUGCUGGAAUGCGGAUGCCGUGGAAGGAAUGUGUGGUGUAGCGGUGAAAUGCAUAGAUAGCACAAAGAACACCGAUUGCGAAGGCAUCUCACGAAUCCGCGAUUGACGCUGAUGCACGAAAGCGUGGGUAGCAAACAGGAUUAGAUACCCUUGUAGUC